RNAcentral lists this microRNA precursor (168 nucleotides) under Pelobates cultripes (western spadefoot toad). Lineage: Eukaryota; Metazoa; Chordata; Amphibia; Anura; Pelobatidae. The record is from RNAcentral.
GCAGACACAUUCCAGCCAAUCAGCAGCAGGCCCUCCCUCCCAGACCCUUCCACCUCCUGGACAGCAUCCAUUUUACAUUCAUUGUGAAGCUGCAUUUUUAGUGAGCUGUCCAGGAGGUGGGAGGGUCUGGGAGGGAGGGUCUGCUGCUGAUUGGCUGGAAUGUGUCUG